This 429-nucleotide ribosomal RNA is filed under the name Gemmatimonadota bacterium. Its description in RNAcentral is "Gemmatimonadetes bacterium partial 16S ribosomal RNA". It matches the Rfam family "Bacterial small subunit ribosomal RNA", at positions 355 to 776 of the family's 1533-position model. Lineage: Bacteria; Pseudomonadati; Gemmatimonadota. The record is from RNAcentral.
UAGGGAAUCUUCGGCAAUGGACGAAAGUCUGACCGAGCAACGCCGCGUGAGUGAAGAAGGUUUUCGGAUCGUAAAACUCUGUUGUUAGAGAAGAACAAGGACGUUAGUAACUGAACGUCCCCUGACGGUAUCUAACCAGAAAGCCACGGCUAACUACGUGCCAGCAGCCGCGGUAAUACGUAGGUGGCAAGCGUUGUCCGGAUUUAUUGGACGUAAAGCGAGCGCAGGCGGUUUCUUAAGUCUGAUGUGAAAGCCCCCGGCUCAACCGGGGAGGGUCAUUGGAAACUGGGAGACUGGGGUGCAGAAGAGGAGAGUGGAAUUCCAUGGGUGGCGGUGAAAUGCGUAGAUAUAUGGAGGAAAACCAGUGGCGAAGGCGGCUCUCUGGUCUGUAACGGACGCUGAGGCUCGAAGGCGUGGGGAGCAAACAGG